GUGGGUAUGGCUCAGUAGUAGAGCGCAUGCUUAGCUUGCACGAGGUCCUGAGUUCAAUCCCCAGUACCAUUA
RNAcentral lists this transfer RNA (72 nucleotides) under Camelus bactrianus (Bactrian camel). It matches the Rfam family "tRNA". From Rfam's summary of the family: Transfer RNA (tRNA) molecules are approximately 80 nucleotides in length. RNAcentral also lists the same sequence under 2 other names. The record is from Rfam by way of RNAcentral. Lineage: Eukaryota; Metazoa; Chordata; Mammalia; Artiodactyla; Camelidae.